UGCAGCCCUGUCAAAUUCGGUCCCUGCCUCCUCCGUGGUGGGGAUCGGCCAACCGGCUGCCACAGCAACUUCUGUUGUCUGUCAGCCCCACGUCCCCUUCCCGUGGGACACUGGGGGAUAAAAUCACACCACGGACACAU
Molecule: small nucleolar RNA, 140 nt
Filed under: Accipiter nisus (Eurasian sparrowhawk)
Lineage: Eukaryota; Metazoa; Chordata; Aves; Accipitriformes; Accipitridae
Description: Small nucleolar RNA SNORA5 (ENSANIG00000017149.1)
Rfam family: Small nucleolar RNA SNORA5
About the family: ACA5 is a member of the H/ACA class of snoRNA that guide the sites of modification of uridines to pseudouridines.
Source: Rfam by way of RNAcentral